RNAcentral lists this ribosomal RNA (480 nucleotides) under uncultured fungus. RNAcentral's name for it is "SSU rRNA". It matches the Rfam family "Eukaryotic small subunit ribosomal RNA", at positions 300 to 769 of the family's 1831-position model. The record is from RNAcentral. Lineage: Eukaryota; Fungi.
CAAAUAUCUGCCCUAUCAACUUUCGAUGGUAGGAUAGUGGCCUACCAUGGUUUGGACGGGUAACGGGGAAUAAGGGUUCGAUUCCGGAGAGGGAGCCUGAGAAACGGCUACCACAUCCAAGGAAGGCAGCAGGCGCGCAAAUUACCCAAUCCCAAUUCGGGGAGGUAGUGACAAUAAAUAACAAUAUAGGGCUCUUUUGGGUCUUAUAAUUGGAAUGAGUACAAUUUAAAUCACUUAACGAGGAACAAUUGGAGGGCAAGUCUGGUGCCAGCAGCCGCGGUAAAUUCCAGCUCCAAUAGCGUAUAUUAAAGUUGUUGCAGUUAAAAAGCUCGUAGUUGAAAUUUGGGCCUGGACGGGCGGUCCGCCGCAAGGCGUUGUACUGUCUGGCUGGGUCUUUCCUCUUGGGUGAAUCGGCGGUGUCCUUUUCCACUUGGGUUGGCGUCGGGGAACCAGGACAUUUACCUUUGGAGAACAAUUCAG